RNAcentral lists this long non-coding RNA (698 nucleotides) under Homo sapiens (human). Its description in RNAcentral is "HSALNT0121272". The record is from RNAcentral. Lineage: Eukaryota; Metazoa; Chordata; Mammalia; Primates; Hominidae.
AUACAGGCAUCACAAGCAUUUGCAUUUUUUUCCAGGAGACAGGAAAAGGCAUUGGAAUGAUUCAAAACUCUGGUUCUAUCCUAGAGUGACUUCGAGCUGGGUACAUUCUAACUUAGAUGGCCUCAGCUGCAAAGCCAACUGGACUCCAGCCUUGCAGACCAGUGAGGAUGGAAAUGAUUGCAAAACCAAGAUGGACGAUGUUGAGAUGGACUCAACCCUGCUAUUGAGAUUGGCCCUUACAGGGGAGGAUAUUUGGUCUAGCGUUCAGAGUCUAAAGGCACAGAAUGAGGACCUGGGAGGACCGCAUUUUCUGGGAGAAGCCCUGGAAUACAAGAUUUGAUAUACUUAAAGGGAGCUCACAUUCCCAUCAACCUGGAGCAACUCACCUGGGAAUGUCUGAGUUGGCCUCAAAGUCUCAGCCAAAUUCGGACCUGUCUAAGGAAUGUGGAAGCUGAAACCACCUUCACCUGGAUCUUUGCCCCGUGGCAACAUCCUUGCCCUGUGAAUUGCUGCCUACAUAUAUGGAAGUUGAAGAGAGGAGACAUGUUUUAGCCAAACAGAUAACAUAAAUGAUUUUUAUUAUGGAAUUAAAUAAUUAUGUAGAUAUAUUAGAGCAAAGUUAUUUUAUCUGGAUUGUAUUUUGGCCUAUGUGUCCUAUUCAACAACAAUCUUUUUAAAAAAAUUUACAUCCUCCUGCA